RNAcentral lists this ribosomal RNA (419 nucleotides) under uncultured bacterium. RNAcentral's name for it is "bacterial SSU rRNA". It matches the Rfam family "Bacterial small subunit ribosomal RNA", at positions 355 to 767 of the family's 1533-position model. The record is from RNAcentral.
UUUCGAAUCAUUCACAAUGGGCGAAAGCCUGAUGGUGCGACGCCGCGUGAGGGAUGAAGGUCUUCGGAUUGUAAACCUCUGCCACUGGGGAGAAAACGCUUUGAGUUAAUAGUUCAAAGCCUGAUUUAACCCGGAGAGGAAGCAGUGGCUAACUCUGUGCCAGCAGCCGCGGUAAUACAGAGACUGCAAGCGUUAUUCGGAUUCACUGGGCGUAAAGGGUGCGCAGGCGGCCGUGUGUGUAAGGUGUGAAAUCCCGGGGCUUAACCCCGGAACUGCGCCUUAAACUACAUGGCUAGAGUAUUGGAGAGGGUAGGGGAAUUCACGGUGUAGCAGUGAAAUGCGUAGAUAUCGUGAGGAACACCCGAGGCGAAGGCGACUACCUGGACAAUUACUGACGCUCAGGCACGAAAGCGUGGGGA